This 253-nucleotide ribosomal RNA is filed under the name uncultured bacterium. RNAcentral describes it as "partial 16S ribosomal RNA". It matches the Rfam family "Bacterial small subunit ribosomal RNA", at positions 524 to 776 of the family's 1533-position model. The record is from RNAcentral.
GACGAACCGGACAAACGUUAUUCGGAAUUACUGGGCUUAAAGGGUUUGUAGGCGGCCUUGUAAGUCAGGUGUGAAAUCCCUCGGCUCAACCGAGGAAUAGCGCUUGAUACUGCAAGGCUUGAGGGAGACAGGGGUAAGCGGAACUGAUGGUGGAGCGGUGAAAUGCGUUGAUAUCAGGAAGAACAUCGGUGGCGAAGGCGCUCUGCUGGACCAUAACUGACACUCAGGGACGAAAGCUAGGGGAGCGAAUGGG